This 497-nucleotide ribosomal RNA is filed under the name uncultured bacterium. RNAcentral's name for it is "partial 16S ribosomal RNA". It matches the Rfam family "Bacterial small subunit ribosomal RNA", at positions 28 to 507 of the family's 1533-position model. The record is from RNAcentral.
GAUGAACGCUGGCGGCGUGCCUAAUACAUGCAAGUCGAACGCUGAAGGAAGGAGCUUGCUCUUUCCGGAUGAGUUGCGAACGGGUGAGUAACGCGUAGGUAACCUGCCUGGUAGCGGGGGAUAACUAUUGGAAACGAUAGCUAAUACCGCAUAACAGUAGAUGUUGCAUGAUAUCUACUUAAAAGGUGCAAUUGCACCACUACCAGAUGGACCUGCGUUGUAUUAGCUAGUUGGUGAGGUAACGGCUCACCAAGGCGACGAUACAUAGCCGACCUGAGAGGGUGAUCGGCCAAACUGGGACUGAGACAAGGCCCAGACUCCUACGGGAGGCAGCAGUAGGGAAUCUUCGGCAAUGGACGGAAGUCUGACCGAGCAACGCCGCGUGAGUGAAGAAGGUUUUCGGAUCGUAAAGCUCUGUUGUAAGAGAAGAACGAGUGUGAGAGUGGAAAGUUCACACUGUGACGGUAUCUUACCAGAAAGGGACGGCUAACUACGUG